Gigantopelta aegis is the source of this 74-nucleotide non-coding RNA. The record is from the annotation of a RefSeq genome assembly. NCBI's taxonomy places the organism in Eukaryota, Metazoa, Mollusca, Gastropoda, Neomphalida, Peltospiridae.
GCCGAGAUAGCUCAGUUGGGAGAGCGUUUAACUGAAGAUCUAAAGGGUCCCUGGUUCGAUCCCGGGUCUCGGCA